AUGCUCCUCCCAGUGCGCGGCCUCCCGGCCGCCCCUCAUCGCCCGCUCACCCACCCACACAGCUCCCCCGCGCCGCCGCCCUCCCUCCUCGGUGCCCGGCGCCGCCGUCCGUCCCGGAGGCUCUCCAAGGUCGUGUCCUACUACGGCCUCACCACUCCGCCGUACAAAACCGACGCCCUGGAGCCGUACAUGAGCAGGCGGGCGGUGGAGCUGCACUGGGGCAAGCACCAGCAGGAGUACGUGGACGGGCUCAACAGGCAGCUCGCCAUCAGCCCGCUCUACGGCCACACCCUCGAGGACCUCAUCAAGGAGGCCUACAACAACGGCAACCCGCUGCCCGAGUACAACGACGCGGCCGAGGUCUGGAACCAUCACUUCUUCUGGGAAUCGAUGCAGCCGGAAGGCGGCGGCUCGCCCGAGGCGGGCGUGCUGCAGCAGAUCGAGAAGGAUUUCGGCUCCUUUUUUAAUUUCAGGGAGGAGUUCAUGCGCUCGGCGUUGUCGUUGUUGGGGUCUGGUUGGGUUUGGCUUGUCUUGAAGAGAAGCGAGAGGAAGCUCGAGGUGGUUCACACCCGAAAUGCUAUCAACCCACUUGCUUUUGGGGAUAUUCCAAUCAUCAGCCUAGACUUGUGGGAGCAUGCUUACUACUUAGAUUACAAGGAUGACAGGCGAACAUAUGUGUCAAACUUUCUGGAUCACCUUGUGUCUUGGCAUACUGUCACUGUACGCAUGAUGCGCGCGGAGGCUUUUGUUAACCUUGGUGAACCAACUAUCCCAGUGGCAUGA
Molecule: ribosomal RNA, 783 nt
Filed under: Triticum aestivum (bread wheat)
Lineage: Eukaryota; Viridiplantae; Streptophyta; Magnoliopsida; Poales; Poaceae
Description: partial small subunit ribosomal RNA
Source: RNAcentral